This 74-nucleotide transfer RNA is filed under the name Schistosoma japonicum. Its description in RNAcentral is "tRNA-Arg". Lineage: Eukaryota; Metazoa; Platyhelminthes; Trematoda; Strigeidida; Schistosomatidae. The record is from RNAcentral.
GGCUCAGUGGUUCAAUGGUAAAAGCGGCUCGUCGCGGAGCCAGAGGGUACUGGGUUCGAUCCCCAACAGGGUCG